UGGGGAAUUUUGGACAAUGGGCGCAAGCCUGAUCCAGCAAUGCCGCGUGAGUGAAGAAGGCCUUCGGGUUGUAAAGCUCUUUUGUCAGGGAAGAAACGGUUCCGGCUAAUAUCCGGGGCUAAUGACGGUACCUGAAGAAUAAGCACCGGCUAACUACGUGCCAGCAGCCGCGGUAAUACGUAGGGUGCAAGCGUUAAUCGGAAUUACUGGGCGUAAAGCGUGCGCAGGCGGUUUUGUAAGUCUGUCGUGAAAGCCCCGGGCUCAACCUGGGAAUUGCGAUGGAGACUGCAAGGCUUGAAUCUGGCAGAGGGGGGUAGAAUUCCACGUGUAGCAGUGAAAUGCGUAGAGAUGUGGAGGAACACCGAUGGCGAAGGCAGCCCCCUGGGUCAAGAUUGACGCUCAUGCACGAAAGCGUGGGGAGCAAACA
Molecule: ribosomal RNA, 427 nt
Filed under: uncultured Oxalobacteraceae bacterium
Lineage: Bacteria; Pseudomonadati; Pseudomonadota; Betaproteobacteria; Burkholderiales; Oxalobacteraceae
Description: bacterial SSU rRNA
Rfam family: Bacterial small subunit ribosomal RNA
Source: RNAcentral